Molecule: long non-coding RNA, 2350 nt
Organism: Carassius auratus (goldfish)
Lineage: Eukaryota; Metazoa; Chordata; Actinopteri; Cypriniformes; Cyprinidae
Exons: 2
Source: RefSeq, a predicted model, not a curated record
UUCUGCUGUUGCAGCCCAUCCGCCUCAAGGUUGUGCGUGUUGUUGCUUCACAAAUGCUUUGCUGCAUACCUAGGUUGUAACGAGUUAUUAUUUUAGUCAAAGUUGCUCUUCUAUCAGCUUGAAUCAGUUGGCCCAUUUUCCUCUGGCCUCUAGCAUCAACAAGGCAUUUUUGCCCACAGGACUGCCGCAUACUGGAUGUUUUUCCCUUUUCACACCAUUCUUUGGAUACCCUAGAAAAUGGUUGUGCAAAAUUGCUUAAAUCACCUUUCUUUCCCAUUCUAACAUUAAGUUUGGAGCUCAGGAGAUUGUCUUGACCAGGACCACAGCCCUAAAUGAAUUGAAUUAACUGCCAUGUGACUGGUUGAUUAGAUAAUUGCAUUAAUCAGAAAUUGAACAGGUGUUCCUAAUAACCAUUUAGGUGAGUGUAUAACCAGCAGUGCAAUGUGAGAAACAAGUUAUUAGUUAAACGUGAGAAACAUUAGAUGGGCAACAAAGAGACGACCCCCAAAACAGGAAUGGUUUUACAGUGUCCGUACUGGUAGCAUGUGGCGAUACCUGGAUCCUACAGAGGUUGCACAGGCAUUCCAAACUCUUCCGGGAUGGGAUAUCAAUAUGUGCCGUUGCCAGAAGGUUUGCUGCAUCUCCCAGCACAGACUCAGGAGCAUGGUGGAGAUUCCUGGAGACAAGCAGUUACUCUAGGAGAGCUGGUCAGGGCCGUAGAAGGUCAUUGACCCAUCAGCAGGACUGGUAUCUGCUCCUUUGUGCAAGGAGGAACAGGAUGAGCACUGCCAGAGUCUUACAAAAUGACAUCCACCGGGCCACUGGUGUAAAUGUCUCUGACUGAACAAUCAGAAAUAGAUUUUAUUAGGGUGGACUGAGGGCCCGACAUACUCUUGUGGGCCCUGUGCUCACUGCCUAGCAUACUAAAGCUCUAUUGGCAUUUGCUAUUGAACACCAGAAUUGGCAGGCACUGUGUGCUUUUCACAGAUGAAAGCAGGUUCACCCUGAGCACAUAUGACAGAUGUGAAAGGGUCUGGAGAAGCUGUGGAUAACAUUAUGCUUUCUGUAACAUUUUUAGCAUGGCCAGUUUGGUAGUGGGUCAGUGAUGGUCUGAGGAGGCAUAUCCAUGAGGAAUGACUGCCAUUAGGUAUCAGGAUGAAAUCCUGGGAUCCAUUGUUAUACCCUAUGCUGGUGCAAUGGUUCCUGAAUUCCUCCUGGUGCAUGACAAUUCCCAGCCUCAUGUGUCGAGAGUUUGGAGGUAGUACCUGGAGGAUGAAGGGAUAGGUACCAUUAAAUGGCCCCCACGCUUGCCUGACAUAAAUCCAACAGAACACCGCUGGGACAUCAUGGUUCUGCCCAUCUGAAUCCUUCAGGUUGCACCUCAAACUGUCCUAGAGCUCAGUGAUGCCCUGGUCCAGAUCUAGGAGGAAAUACUCCAGCACAACAUCUGUCGUCUCAUUAGGAGACGUUGUCAGGCAUGCAUACAAGCUUUUUUUUUUAACUUUGCCUUUGAAUUCGUCCAUCUGUAGGUUGAUCAUUUUCAUUUACAUCAAACGAUGUAGCAUCCUUUCAUACCUAACACAUUACCCAGUCCAUAUCAGUAUAGAUGUUCAGCAUUUGUCUCUAUUGGGUUCUGAUAUACAAAUCUAGUUAAUAAAUACAAAUAUGUACAUACAAAAAUCAGUUUUUGUUAUAUUUUGAAUAUGACUAAGCGCUUCACUUGAAUUAAAUUAGACAUACUCAACAGGAAGAUGUACUGAAUUCCAAUCUAAAGAAAUCUUUAAUUCUUUCUGCCCAGUAGGCCUAUAAACUUCCAGAGCUUUUACAUUUUUAAAAAAAUUACUUAAUUACAUUUUGAUUCAAAUUGCAAUUAUUCAUCCUGUUACUACUGCAUGUUUACUCCACUUCGCACACCAAAAAAAAAAAAAAAUCCUACUGUUUUCCAAGUCUGAUAUAUUUAAACACAUGGUUUUACAAAUUUUCUAUUGUGCUCCCUCUUUAACUCUCUCAUCACUUCUCAGUAUGUUUUAUGCUUUACUAAGACAAACACACUAUUAACAGACAUACACAGAUCAUCUGCUGCACAAGCACCUUUUAAAAAGUAGUCAUUUCUUUCUUUCUUUGUGCUCAAAGCUAAAUAAUAAUCUUUUAUAGCAGAAUCUGAACUCCAUAUUCUGAACUCUGAUUCUUCCGUUUAUCUCUGUGAAGCUGCUUUGACGCAAUCUCUAUUAUAUAAAGCAAUAUAGAAAUAAAAGUGACUUGAUUAUGCAUGUAGUUAUCUUAAAGUGUAUAAACCAACACUGAGAAUCUAACACAUCCAGUAAAAAAAAAAAAAAAAAGCCCACUGACA